This 530-nucleotide long non-coding RNA is filed under the name Macaca fascicularis (crab-eating macaque). Its description in RNAcentral is "lncRNA (ENSMFAG00000051631.1)". Lineage: Eukaryota; Metazoa; Chordata; Mammalia; Primates; Cercopithecidae. The record is from RNAcentral.
CCAGUAUUUGUUCUCCUCUUCCCUUGUGAUGAUAGAGCCAUGAUUUUUGACUGGACAUUUAGCUGUGCAGGAUGGAGACAAUUUCUCAACCUGCCAAGCUGCUGUAAUUUCUGAUCAAGGAGAUACCAACGGAAAUCACCCAUAUUAUUUUGAAGCAAGUAGAAGCUCUACAUUUUGUGAGAAGUCUCCGAAAUACUGAGGGAAAUGUCUGUCCCAAACACCUUUGAUAAAAUUCUUUGAUGUGACGUAGACCAUUAUUCUAUGACAUAAAGUAUAUAAAACUGUUAAUUUAUCCUGGAUUUUGAAGUGACGAGUUAUAAUAAGGACAAAAGAAGUCAGACACUGCCUUUACAUCCAUUGAAACAUCCACCUUUGCUAUAAAACUGGUAUUAAGAAAGUAAGUUAAGAGUAAACAUAAAAAUGAAAAUAUAUUAAGUAUUUCACUAAUGAAAUUUUUUUUAUCAGGGGCAUAAUUGAUAUACCUCUGAUCAAAACUGUUGAUUGACAUAUCCAAAUGUCUGGUAUUUCAG